RNAcentral lists this ribosomal RNA (224 nucleotides) under uncultured bacterium. RNAcentral describes it as "partial 16S ribosomal RNA". It matches the Rfam family "Bacterial small subunit ribosomal RNA", at positions 111 to 334 of the family's 1533-position model. The record is from RNAcentral.
UAAUGCAUCGGAACAUGUCCAUUCGUGGGGGAUAGCCCGGCGAAAGCCGGAUUAAUACCGCAUACGCCCCGAGGGGGAAAGCGGGGGACUUCGCAAGAGGCCUCGCGCGAAUGGGUUGGCCGAUGUCCGAUUAGCUAGUUGGUGAGGUAAAGGCUCACCAAGGCGAUGAUCGGUAGCUGGUCUGAGAGGAUGAUCAGCCACACUGGGACUGAGACACGGCCCAG